UGUAAGACUGGGAUAACUCCGGGAAACCGGGGCUAAUACCGGAUGGUUGUAUGAACCGCAUGGUUCAGACAUAAAAGGUGGCUUCGGCUACCACUUACAGAUGGACCCGCGGCGCAUUAGCUAGUUGGUGAGGUAACGGCUCACCAAGGCGACGAUGCGUAGCCGACCUGAGAGGGUGAUCGGCCACACUGGGACUGAGACACGGCCCAGACUCCUACGGGAGGCAGCAGUAGGGAAUCUUCCGCAAUGGACGAAAGUCUGACGGAGCAACGCCGCGUGAGUGAUGAAGGUUUUCGGAUCGUAAAGCUCUGUUGUUAGGGAAGAACAAGUGCCGUUCAAAUAGGGCGGCACCUUGACGGUACCUAACCAGAAAGCCACGGCUAACUACGUGCCAGCAGCCGCGGUAAUACGUAGGUGGCAAGCGUUGUCCGGAAUUAUUGGGCGUAAAGGGCUCGCAGGCGGUUUCUUAAGUCUGAUGUGAAAGCCCCCGGCUCAACCGGGGAGGGUCAUUGGAAACUGGGGAACUUGAGUGCAGAAGAGGAGAGUGGAAUUCCACGUGUAGCGGUGAAAUGCGUAGAGAUGUGGUGGAACACCCGUGGUGAAGGCGACUCUCUCGUCUGUAACUGACGUUGCGGCGGGAAGCAAGCUGCCAUGA
RNAcentral lists this ribosomal RNA (655 nucleotides) under bacterium. RNAcentral describes it as "bacterial SSU rRNA". It matches the Rfam family "Bacterial small subunit ribosomal RNA", at positions 131 to 777 of the family's 1533-position model. The record is from RNAcentral.